Molecule: ribosomal RNA, 678 nt
Filed under: uncultured bacterium
Lineage: Bacteria
Description: bacterial SSU rRNA
Rfam family: Bacterial small subunit ribosomal RNA
Source: RNAcentral
GUCGAACGGUGAUAGCAAUAUCAUAGUGGCGCACGGGUGCGUAACACGUAUGCAACCUACCUAUUAUUGGGGGAUAGCCUUUGGAAACGGAGAUUAAUACCGCAUAAUACGAUUGACUGGCAUCGGUUGAUUGUUAAAGCUUAGGCGAUAAUAGAUGGGCAUGCGUCCAAUUAGUUAGUUGGUUAGGUAACGGCUGACCAAGACGAUGAUUGGUAGGGGAUCUGAGAGGAUAAUCCCCCACACUGGCACCGAGAUACGGGCCAGACUCCUACGGGAGGCAGCAGUAGGGAAUAUUGGGCAAUGGGCGGAAGCCUGACCCAGCCAUGCCGCGUGCAGGAAGAAGGCGUUAUGCGUUGUAAACUGCUUUUUUAUAGGAAGAAGGAUCCCUUGCGAGGGAAGGUGACGGUACUAUAAGAAUAAGCACCGGCUAACUCCGUGCCAGCAGCCGCGGUAAUACGGAGGGUGCAAGCGUUGUCCGGAUUUAUUGGGUUUAAAGGGUGCGUAGGCGGUUUAUUAAGUCAGUGGUGAAAGACGGUCGCUCAACGAUUGCAGUGCCAUUGAUACUGGUAGACUUGAGUGAGAUUGAGGUAGCUGGAAUGGAUAGUGUAGCGGUGAAAUGCAUAGAUAUUAUCCAGAACACCGAUUGCGAAGGCAGGUUACUAAGUCUUAACUGACGCU